UGUAGGCUGCAACUCGCCUACAUGAAGUCGGAAUCGCUAGUAAUCGCGGAUCAGCAUGCCGCGGUGAAUACGUUCCCGGGCCUUGUACACACCGCCCGUCACACCAUGAGAGUUUGUAACACCCAAAGCCGGUGGGGUAACCUUUUGGAGCCAGCCGUCUAAGGUGGGACAGAUGAUUGGGGUGAAGUCGUAACAAGGUAGC
This 202-nucleotide ribosomal RNA is filed under the name uncultured bacterium. RNAcentral's name for it is "partial 16S ribosomal RNA". It matches the Rfam family "Bacterial small subunit ribosomal RNA", at positions 1299 to 1500 of the family's 1533-position model. The record is from RNAcentral.